GCUGGCUAUGGUGGUGCACACCUGUAAUCCCAGCACCUUGGGAGGCUGAGGCAGGAGGAUCGAAAGUUCAAAGCCAGCCUCAGCAACUUAGUGAGGCCCUAAGCAACUAGGUGAGACCCUGUCUCUA
This 127-nucleotide small RNA is filed under the name Marmota monax (woodchuck). The record is from RNAcentral. Lineage: Eukaryota; Metazoa; Chordata; Mammalia; Rodentia; Sciuridae.